UCUCUAAAUUGGCCGUAUCUUGACUUGGAUUCUCAAAAGCACCUGCUUUAGAUUUGAGUAUGUUUACUUUGUUUUGCCUCGUUAGCCUAGAUUUCAUAGUUUUAUUGGUUCAGUGCUUGAAGUUGUUUUGAUAGUAGAUUAAUGGAAAAGUUUUGUCCUUUCUUGAAUCUAUAUGAGAAACAAUACUUCUGUAUCUAGUGAAGCGUUGGAGUUUGAUGGUGGUCACAUUUAGAAAUCACUCUGCGAUAUUGGUUAUAUAUGGUGAUGUUGGCGCAAUGUAGAGCUUAAAGUUCGCUCCUUUAUAAUGAUAUGACUGCUUCUUAAUGUAAUACAGUUUUCUUAUUAGUGUUUAUCUUUCGCUUCUUAAUCUCAGAUUAGGCAAUAAUUUCUCUACAAUCUCUAGGAGAAGAGCAUAUAAAGGUGUGGAGAACAUUGACAUAUGAUUGGUUUACAGUAAUCCUGCAGAGUCUGAAUCUCUUCCACAUCCACUGCUGUCACACAGUUACUUGCAACCUCCAGCUGCGCUUUCACCUUGUACCAAGUCCAUGCGCCGUGGCACACGCCAUGGACGAGCACAAACUGUUUCUGGUUCUUCUUCUCAAUUGCCUUUCUUACUCUCAACAUCUUGGUUCAACACUUGCAUACAUACGGUAAGUUUCCCAAAUACUCUUUGUAUAUUGGCUGUUAGUUUUUGGUCGUUCUCUGAGAUCUAGAGAAUGCUAAAACAACACUACAUUGAUUGUUAGAUUUCUCAUUUCAGCUAUAGUAUGAAAUAAAGUCUGAACGUUUAGAAAGAUCCAUUUUAGAACAUGUUCAAUUGUAUUAAAUCCAGAUACAUUUUUUGUUGGUGGACCUGAAGACUCCAUCUGAGGUCAUUUGUUGGCGUGUUAGAGUUCGUGGUGAUUGUUUCAGUGACCUUCACAGGUUAGAAGUGGUCAUAGUAUAGGCAGGAAUAAGUUAUUGAAACGAGAGAUUAUAAAAGAUUAGUUGAUCAGCUUAGUUAGUUUGGGUGAAAAACUGCUUAGAUUUCUCAAUAUAAGAACUCUUAUUAAUCCAGUGAGGAUCCUAGAUUUAUUUAGGCAAUAUUUACCUGCUAUCUUUAAACGAGAUGAUGACUAGAAUUCUUGAGGCUUUGAUACAUUGGAUCUGUAUCUUUGAUCCCCCAUUACUUCUUCAACCUCCUUAAUAUUCUUGUUCAUAAUCCUUCUAUGUUUAAAAUCCCUGGGCACACAUUAUCAUAUUUGCAUACGCGACCAGUCUCCACAGUCCACCCUUUCUCCUUGAAGCUUCAAGUUGUAACUUCACACACCCUAGCAGAAUCCUCGGCAAGCACAUACCACUCAUGGUUAUUUGCCUUCUCUUUUUAGCCUCUUUGUUCAUCUAUUCUUUUAACUAGUUUCUCUGGUAAUAGAAGAUAUAGAGAAUGGUUCACUAAUAUUUUACUGACCAUUUGUUUUUACUUAGUAUUGACUAUAAGAUCUAGCUAUGAUUAUAUGAACCCAUGAAACCUUCUUAAACAAAAUCAUAUUCGCACUGCUAAACAUUCUUCUAGUAUGCAUUUUCAGCUUGUCUACAUAUAGCAGAUCACGACUAACUUUUUUUUAAUUUUUUCAUAGAAGCUGAAGUUCAUAGUAAUAUACUUAUAAAUGCAGGUUUAUAGGCAUAUGAUCUACAUUAAUACGAUGCUGGAAAUUUUCAGGUAGUGUGUUAUCCUCUUCUUACAUUCUUAUUUAUAUAACCAUUCUUACAAAUAAUAUUAUUUGGUUAUGUCUUAUACAUAUAGAGUGUACUCACCCAUAUCACUCUCAUCUCGCUUAGUGUAGUCGUGAAGUUGAAUUUUGUAACUGUGAUGCAGUGAAGAUCUCAGAUUCAUUUAGGCAUAUUUAUCUGCAAUCUCCAAAAGACGAGUACAGAGUUCUUGAGGCUUGGAGAACAUUGCCAUAUGAUCUGCAUCUUUGAUCUUCAUUACUUCUUUUACUGGAAAGUUCUUGAUCAUCCAGCGCUGGUAAUCCUCGGUUAUCGCGCGGUCCUCUCCACAGAUGAUAUAUAUACGUGUAACGGAUCCAUACCCUUCCUCACUGAAGCUUCUUGUCCCUGCCAGAUUGUUUGUAACGAUCGGGUUUACCCUCACCAACAUUUUUGCCAAUUCAAGAUCCUAAUCCGCCACAACAAUCAUCAAUUAAAAAGUUGACUGAGGUUACAAGCAAAUCUCAUUUGGGUUUUAAGUAGGAGUCUUACUUGGACCGGAGAGAGUUGAUACAAAUCCCUGGCCAUGGAUUUUGGUCCGAAAAGAACAAACUCUAGAGGGCGAUCAGGUGUCCCGUAGGUUCCAAACACAGUAUCCAACGGUUCUUCUUGUGGAUCACUUCUGAUCAGCUGAUGAUUUCAGGCAGAUAUCAGAAAUCAAUAUGAAGAGAUCAGACUAUGCAAUCGAAUCAUCGUACCUUUUCAUAAACAUAAGCAGGUAGAUUUCUUGUGUCCGGCAUGAAAGCUGUCAAGAAGACAACAGCAGCAAUCUUACAAUGAAAUAUGUCAGCAGCAAGUGCAGCUGGUAGUCCUCCCAUACUAUGCGCAACAAGUAUCACCUUGUCGUCAUCCGGACCAAGAGAACUCAUAAACUCAAGUAAUGGUUUGCUGUAAUCCUUCAGAGUUUGAAUAUCUUCCAGUCUAGUCAUGUCUAUACCCGAUGCAGCCAGAUCCACUGCAGUCACACAGUGACCUGCAGCCUCCAGCAGUGCUGUCACCUUGUACCAAGUCCACGCACCGUGGCACAGGCCAUGGACGAGCACAAACCUUUUCUGGUUGUUCUUCUCCAUUAUCUUUUUUACUUUCAGCAUCUUGUGGUUCAACACUUAUAAAUUAUUAAGUUUCCCGCAUUUACUAUUUGGAUGGUGACUAAUAGAUUUUGGUCAUUGUCUGACAUCUAUUAGAAUUCUAAACCGACACUAUAUUGACCAUUAGUUUAUUUAUUUAUUUGUUUCAACCAUCGAAAGCAAUAAAUUCUAACCUUCUGCAGCAAACACUUAAGUGCAUCAAAACCUCGUACAUUUGCAUUGGUAGGCUUGAAGGCUCUGAUACCGUAUAGAUUUAGAUCGAAGUAUCUUUCUUUUCAUGAAAUCAUGACGCUUUGUAAUUUCUUUAAAGGUCAUUACAGUAUUCAUUACCAUUCUUGCAUACAGGUCUUACAUGAAUCUUUAAUCGUUUGUUCUUAUGAAUCUUUAUUCUCAUAUGGUUGAUUGUUGUGGUGGAAGCUGAAGUUGGUUAUUUAUUUGCAGUGACAAUCUCAGGUUUACUUAGGCGUAUUCAUCUGCAAUCUCCAAGAGAAGAGCACAUAGUUCUUUAGGCCUGGAAGACAUUGCCAUAUGAUCUGCAUCUUGGAUCUCCAUUACUUCUUUCACCGGAAAGUUACUGAUCAUCCAACGCUGGUAUUCCUCAGGUAAUAUAUUAUCCUCUCCACAUAUGAUAUAAAUACGUUUAACCGAUCCAUACCCUUCCUCAGUAAAGCUUCUUGUCCCUGUCAGAUUGGUCGUAACCACCGGGUUCACCCUUACCAACAAUUUCGCCAAUACAAGAUCCUAACCGUUGAGAACAGAGAAUAGAAAAAGAUUGACUGGGGUUACUAGCAAUCUCAUUUGUUAGAAUAAGGUUUGAUUAGGCUUGGAGUCUUACUUCUACCGGAGACUGUUGAUACACUUUCUUGGCCAUGAACUUUGGUCCCAAAAGAAUAGACUCUAGAGGACAUUCUGGAUUCCCGUACCUCCCAAACAGGGUGUCCAACCAUUCCUCUCGCGGAGUGCUUCUCAUCAGCUGGAGAUUUCAAUCAGAUAUCAGAAUACAACAGUCAAAAGCGACCAUACCGUGCAGCCAAAUCAUCAUGUUCUAUAUCAAAAUCAUACCUUUUCGAAAACGUAAGCAGGUGGGCUUCUUGUGUCCGGCAUGAAAGCUGCCACAAAAACCAUAGCAGCAAUCUUACUAGGGAAGAUGUCGGCAGCAAGCGCAGCGGGUAUUCCUCCCAUGCUAUGCGCAACAAGAAUCACCUUCUCGUCAUCUGGACCAAGAGAGCUCAGAUACUCAAGUAACGGUUCGGAGUAAUCCAUCAGUGUCUGAACAUCUUCCAACCUGGUCAUGUUUCGACCUGAUGCAGCCAGAUCAACUGCAGUCACACAGUGACCUGCAGCUUCUAGCUGUGUUUUCACCUUGUACCAACUCCACGCUCCGUGGCAGACCGCAUGCACAAGCACAAACCGCAUUAUCUCCAUUUCCUUCUUGUAGUUUCAUCAUCUUGCUUCAACUCUUUAUAUAUACACAUAGUCUGAGCUAUACCUCUGUACGGUUUCACCAUGCUUCUGGUGGCUUGUCGCGUGCAAACUCUUACGUGAUCAAAGAGCUCAAAUUUGUAUUUACAUAUCUUUCAAGCUAGAUACAAGUGAAAAGUCUAAUCUUGGAAUGAUACCUAUGUAAAACUCUAACCACCACAAAAAUUGACACUACUUUUUGGACUUUUAUUACAGUAGAUGACUAGAUGUUACCAAACUCUAAUCAUUUUUUUUGUUCUCUCUGUUUUUGCUUUCUUGCUCUUCUAUUCUAUCGUUCAGAAAAAAAUACUACACUAAGUAAUACAUAAGAGAGAAUCAUAGUGACUCAGUGUGCAAAUCAUGAAAUAUGAAUCGUUAAUUGUGAAAACAUGAAAAUACAUUUUUCUUAAAAUCACUCACACAUCACUCAAAUCUGGCUAAUAUAAUUAUGGUUGAAGCUGAUUUGUGUAACUAUAAUGUAGUGACACAUCUUAAGUUCAUUUUAGGCAUAUUUAUCCGCAAUCUCCAAGAGAAGAGCAGAGAGUUCUUGAGGCUUAGAGAACAUUGCCAUAUGAUCUGCAUCUUUGAUCUCCAUUACUUCAUUUGGUGGGAAGUUCUUGAUCAUCUCAAGCUGGAACUCCC
RNAcentral lists this long non-coding RNA (4937 nucleotides) under Capsella grandiflora. RNAcentral describes it as "long non-coding RNA (CGRA_LNC000492)". The record is from RNAcentral. Lineage: Eukaryota; Viridiplantae; Streptophyta; Magnoliopsida; Brassicales; Brassicaceae.